GAGGGAGGAUGCAAGCGUUAUCCGGAAUUAUUGGGCGUAAAGGGUGCGUAGGUGGUCAGACAAGUCCCAUGUCAAAGCAUGGUGCUUAACGCCAUAAAGGCGUGGGAAACUGUGUGACUAGAGUACAGCAGGGGCAGGAGGAAUUCCCGGUGUAGCGGUGAAAUGCGUAGAUAUCGGGAAGAACACCAGUGGCGCAAGCGUUCUGCUGGGCUGUAACUGACACUGAGGCACGAAAGCUAGGGGAGCGAAAGGG
RNAcentral lists this ribosomal RNA (253 nucleotides) under uncultured bacterium. RNAcentral's name for it is "partial 16S ribosomal RNA". It matches the Rfam family "Bacterial small subunit ribosomal RNA", at positions 524 to 776 of the family's 1533-position model. The record is from RNAcentral.